AUUUUAAACUUGUUAAAAGAGGGUAAAUCAAAACAACCGAGGAAAAGACGUUUUAAAAAACAGAAACACGCAGUUCAAGAUAAGUUAGUUGUAAAUCUGUCAUCAAUAGAACUAACUACCUCUGAGGAAAAACUAUUGAGUAAAGGCCUUAAUUUCUGUCCAGCUCCAGCAACCGUCAACAAUUUACAACUUGAGACAGAUGUAGAAGCAUUUGCCAGGCGUCUUCGGUUGAAAGAACAUUUCAAUAGAC
Molecule: long non-coding RNA, 250 nt
Filed under: Mytilus galloprovincialis (Mediterranean mussel)
Lineage: Eukaryota; Metazoa; Mollusca; Bivalvia; Mytilida; Mytilidae
Source: RNAcentral